This 299-nucleotide ribosomal RNA is filed under the name uncultured bacterium. RNAcentral's name for it is "partial 16S ribosomal RNA". It matches the Rfam family "Bacterial small subunit ribosomal RNA", at positions 28 to 326 of the family's 1533-position model. The record is from RNAcentral.
GAUGAACGCUAGCGGCAGGCUUAAUACAUGCAAGUCGAGGGGUAACAUGGUAGCAAUACUGAUGACGACCGGCAAACGGGUGCGGAACACGUACAGAACCUUCCUUUAAGCGGGGGAUAGCCCAUAGAAAUGUGGAUUAAUACCCCAUAGUAAUAUUGUCUGGCAUCAGAUGGUAUUUAAAGAUUUAUCACUUAAAGAUGGCUGUGCGGCUGAUUAGGUAGUUGGUGNGGGUACGGCCCACCAAGCCAGCGAUCAGUAACUGGUGUGAGAGCACGACCAGUCACACGGGCACUGAGACA